GGAGCGCCCUACUAAUGUUACAGAAGUACGGAGUUUCCUUGAGCUAGCAGGUUAUUAUCGAUGAUUCGUAGAGGAUUUUUCCAAAAUUGCUCUUCCUUUGACUAGUUUGACUUGAAAGGACAUCAAAUUUGUGUGGAAUGAGGAACGUGAGAAGAGUUUUCAAGAGUUGAAGAAAAGGUUAACUUCUGCUCCUAUACUUACUCUUCCAUCUCCAGGUGAAGAGUUUGUGAUUUAUAGUGAUGCUUCAUGCCAAGGAUUGGGUUGCGUUCUAAUGCAAAAUGGAAAAGUUGUAGCUUAUGCUUCUAGACAAUUGAAGAAGCAUAAGUUAAAUUACCCAACUCAUGAUUUGGAGUUAGCUGCAAUAGUGUUGGUAUUGAAGAUUUGGAGACAUUACAUUUAUGGUGAGAAAUGUCAAAUAUUUACCGACCAUAAAAGUCUAAAGUAUAUCUUUGAUCAGAAGGAACUGAAUCUGAGGCAAAGAAGAUGGUUGGAGUUGAUAAAGGAUUAUGAUUGUAAGAUUGACUACCAUCCGGGGAAAGCUAAUGUAGUUGCAGAUGUUCUCAGUAGAAAGACUAGUUCUUCAUCUCCAUCCAGUGCAAUAUAUGCUUCUUUGAUUUGUGAGUUCAAGAAGUUACAUACUCAGUUGUCAGUUACUACUUCGGGGGCAAUAUUAGCUCAUUUUCAAGUGAGGCCUUCUUUGAUUGAUAAGGUUAAAGAAGCUCAAUCUCAAGACCUACCAUUGAGAACCAUGAAAGCACAAGUUAGUGUAGGGUUACGGACGGAUUAUGUGAUUAGAGAUGAUGGGUCGUUAGCUAUAGGUAAUAAAUUAUGUGUUCCAGAUAUUCCAGAAUUGAAGAAUGAAAUUUUAGAAGAGGCACAUAGUUCUGCUUAUGCUAUGCAUCUAGGUAGUAUUAAAAUGUAUCAUACAUUGAAAUAUCAUUACUGGUGGAAAGGUAUGAAGAGAGAGAUAGCAGAUUUUGUAUCCAAAUGUCUUAUAUGACAGCAGGUAAAGCCAGUUCGUCAAAAAACAGUAGGACUUUUACAGUCAUUACCUAUUCCAGAAUACAUUACUAUGGACUUCUUAUUUGGUCUUCCUCGUACUCAGAAUGGUCAUGAUGGUGUUUGGGUGAUUGUGGAUCGUUUGACCAAAAUUGCCAGAUUUUUGCCAAUCAAAAUCACUUAUUCUUUGAGUAAGUUAGCAAAGUUGUACGUGGAUGAAAUAGUUAGCUUAUAUGGUGUUCCAGUAUCUAUUGUAUCUAAUAGAGAUCCCCGAUUUACAUCCAAAUUUUGGCCUAGUUUACAGGGAGCUAUGGGUACUAAACUUCAUUUCAGCACAACUUUUCAUCCUCAGACAGAUGGUCAAUCAGAGAGGACCAUACAAACUCUUGAGGAUAUGUUGAGGGCUUGUGUUUUGGAGUUCAAAGGUAGCUGGGAUACUCAUUUGUCUUUGAUGGAGUUUGCUUAUAAUAACAGUUACCACUCCAGUAUAGAAAUGACUCCUUUUGAAGCUUUAUAUGGUAGAAAGUGUAGAACACCAGUAUGUUGGAAUAAAGUUGGUGAAAGAAAGUUAGUGGGCCCUGAUUUGGUUCAAAUGGCUUCAGAAAAUGUGAAAUUGAUUAGAGAAAAUUUGAAAAUAGCACAAGACAGACAUAAAAGUUAUGCAGAUAAGCGCAGAAAAGAUCUUGAAUUUGCAGUUGGAGAUAAAGUCUUUUUGAAAUUGUCACCUUGGAAAGGAAUGUUGAGAUUUGGCAAACGAGGAAAGUUGAGUCCACGAUAUAUUGGACCUUAUCAGGUUACUGAGCGGAUUGGGCCGGUUGCAUAUCGAUUAGAUUUGCCAGAUGAAUUAUCUCGGAUCCAUGAUGUUUUUCAUGUUUCUAUGCUUCGUAAGUAUAUUGUAGAUCCUUCUCAUGUUCUAGAGUCUCAACCAGUUCUAUUGAACAAGAAUUUGACUUACGUAGAAGAACCAUUGAGAAUUUUAGACAAAAAUGUGCAAAUGCAGCUAAACAAGAUAGUUUCACUUGUUAAAGUACUUUGACAGAAUCAAACAGUAGAAGAGGCUACAUGGGAGAAUGAGGAUCAUAUGCGUGCUCAAUAUCCUCAUUUAUUCAUUGCCUAAUCAGUUGCCAGCUGAAUUUCGAGGACGAAAUUAUUUUAAGGGGGUAAGAUUGUUACAACCCAAAUUUUUCUAGUCAAAAUUCAAAUGUUGACUAGUCAAAGUCAAAAUCAAUUAAGGACUAAAAUGAAAUUAAAUAUUUUAUUGGGGUUUAUUUUAUAAUUAGCCAUAUAUGA
This 2289-nucleotide long non-coding RNA is filed under the name Olea europaea subsp. europaea. The record is from RNAcentral. Lineage: Eukaryota; Viridiplantae; Streptophyta; Magnoliopsida; Lamiales; Oleaceae.